UUGGAGGGCAAGUCUGGUGCCAGCAGCCGCGGUAAUUCCAGCUCCAAUAGCGUAUAUUAAAGUUGUUGCAGUUAAAAAGCUCGUAGUUGAAUUUCGGGGUCAGUAGGUUGGUCGUGCCACCGGUACGUACUGGUCUCACUGAUUCCUCCUUCCUGAUGAGCUGUAAUGCCAUUAAUUUGGUGUUGCAGGGAAUCUGGACUGUUACUUUGAAAAAAUUAGAGUGUUUAAAGCAGGCUAACGCUUGAAUACAUUAGCAUGGAAUAAUGAAAUAGGACGUUCGAUCCUAUUUUGUUGGUUUCUAGGAUUGACGUAAUGAUUAAUAGGGAUAGUUGGGGGCAUUAGUAUUCAAUUGUCAGAGGUGAAAUUCUUGGAUUUAUUGAAGACUAACCACUGCGAAAGCAUUUGCCAAGGAUGUUUUCAUUAAUCAAGAACGAAAGUUAGGGGAUCGAAGACGAUCAGAUACCGUCGUAGUCUUAACCAUAAACUAUGCCGACUAGGGAUCGGAUGAUGUUAAUUUUUUAAUGACUCAUUCGGCGCCUUACGGGAAAC
This 549-nucleotide ribosomal RNA is filed under the name uncultured Rhizophagus. Its description in RNAcentral is "SSU rRNA". It matches the Rfam family "Eukaryotic small subunit ribosomal RNA", at positions 548 to 1098 of the family's 1831-position model. The record is from RNAcentral. Lineage: Eukaryota; Fungi; Glomeromycota; Glomeromycetes; Glomerales; Glomeraceae.